GAUGAACGCUGGCGGCGUGCCUAACACAUGCAAGUCGAACGGAAAGGCCCUGCUUUUGUGGGGUUCCCGAGUGGCGCAGGGGGGUGUAACACGUGAGUAUCCCGCCCUUGUCUUUGGGAUAUCUUCAGGAAACCGGGGCUAAUACCGGAGAGGAUCUCUUGCUGCGUGGGGGGCGUUGGAAAGUUUCGGCUGUGGUGUAUCGACUCGCGGCUUAUCAGCUGGGUGGUGGGGUAGAGGCGUACCAAGGCGUUGACGGGUAGCCUGCAUGAGAGGAUGACCAGCCAGACUGGAACUGUGACAGGCCCCAGACGGCUACGGGAGCGAGCAGUAGGGAAUCGUGGGCAAUGGGCGGAAGAUUGAGCCAGCUAGGCCGCGUGCGGGAGGAAGGACUUCGGGUUGGAAAGCACUGCUGUUGGGGAGGAAAACGCGUACGUUUAUAACGAGGUGUGAUGACGGUAACUAAAUAAAAAGCCACGGGUAACUUCGUG
Molecule: ribosomal RNA, 488 nt
Filed under: uncultured bacterium
Lineage: Bacteria
Description: partial 16S ribosomal RNA
Rfam family: Bacterial small subunit ribosomal RNA
Source: RNAcentral